RNAcentral lists this ribosomal RNA (600 nucleotides) under uncultured Actinomycetes bacterium. Its description in RNAcentral is "bacterial SSU rRNA". It matches the Rfam family "Bacterial small subunit ribosomal RNA", at positions 252 to 866 of the family's 1533-position model. The record is from RNAcentral. Lineage: Bacteria; Bacillati; Actinomycetota; Actinomycetes.
GUGAGGUAACGGCUCACCAAGGCAUCGACGGGUAGCUGGUCUGAGAGGAUGGCCAGCCACACUGGGACUGAGACACGGCCCAGACUCCUACGGGAGGCAGCAGUGGGGAAUAUUGCACAAUGGGCGCAAGCCUGAUGCAGCGAUGCCGCGUGCGGGAUGAAGGCCCUAGGGUUGUAAACCGCUUUCAGUAGGGAAGAAAAUGACGGUACCUACAGAAGAAGGUGCGGCCAACUACGUGCCAGCAGCCGCGGUGACACGUAGGCACCAAGCGUUGUCCGGAUUUAUUGGGCGUAAAGAGCUCGUAGGCGGUUCAGUUAGUCGGGUGUGAAAACUCUGGGCUCAACCCAGAGACGCCACCCGAUACUGCUGUGACUAGAGUACGGUAGGGGAGUGGGGAAUUCCUGGUGUAGCGGUGAAAUGCGCAGAUAUCAGGAGGAACACCAGUGGCGAAGGCGCCACUCUGGGCCGUAACUGACGCUGAGGAGCGAAAGCAUGGGUAGCAAACAGGAUUAGAUACCCUGGUAGUCCAUGCCGUAAACGUUGGGCACUAGGUGUGGGUCUCAACUAACGAGAUCCGCGCCGUCGCUAACGCAUUAAGUG